GACGAACGCUGGCGGCGUGCUUAACACAUGCCAGUCGAACGGAAAGGCCCUGCUUUUGUGGGGUGCUCGAGUGGCGAACGGGUGAGUAACACGUGAGUAACCUGCCCUUGACUUUGGGAUAACUUCAGGAAACUGGGGCUAAUACCGGAUAGGAGCUCCUGCUGCAUGGUGGGGGUUGGAAAGUUUCGGCGGUUGGGGAUGGACUCGCGGCUUAUCAGCUUGUUGGUGGGGUAGUGGCUUACCAAGGCUUUGACGGGUAGCCGGCCUGAGAGGGUGACCGGCCACAUUGGGACUGAGAUACGGGCCAGACUCCUACGGGAGGCAGCGGUGGGGAAUAUUGCACAAUGGGCGGAAGCCUGAUGCAGCAACGCCGCGUGCGGGAUGACGGCCUUCGGGUUGUAAACCGCUUUCGCCUGUGACGAAGCGUGAGUGACGGUAAUGGGUAAAGAAGCACCGGCUAACUACGUG
Molecule: ribosomal RNA, 468 nt
Filed under: uncultured bacterium
Lineage: Bacteria
Description: partial 16S ribosomal RNA
Rfam family: Bacterial small subunit ribosomal RNA
Source: RNAcentral